UUUGGAAUUUAUUUAAUUUAUUUAUUAGAUAUAAUUUAUUAUAUAGAAAUAUCUUACUUUUUAGUAUUUUUAAAUGAAUUAAUUAGAUUUAUUUAUAGUUUAUUUAACUGUGAAGGUUAAUAAUUGAUUAGAAAAAAAGUAGAAUUUAAUUUUUGUACCUUUUGUAUCAGGGUUUAUUAAUAUAACUUAUUUAUGAAUAAUUAUCCCGAAAGUAAAAGAUAUAUUUAUAAUUGUAAAUUUAUGUUUUAUAAUAAUUAAAAAAUUAUAAGUAGAUGUUAUAUGCUAUUCAUUUUUAUUAUAUCUGGUUUUUUAAUAAUUGAAUUUAAUUCAGGAAUAUAAUACACUCCAACAGAUCAAUUUAUUUCUUUUGUUGAUUAUAUUCUAAAAUUAUUGGGGAUUAGCUCAUUAAUUUUUCUAUAACUUAUUAUAUGUAUCUAUGACUUAUGUAGGAUUAGAAAUUUUCUUCAUUUAUUUUGUUAUAAUUAUUGUUUUAUUAUAAUUUAUUUAAUAUGAGUUUAGAUUAUUAUUAAAGAUUAUUAUUUAAUUUACAAUUAAUAGUUAUAAUGAUAAAAUUAGUAGAUUUUGAAUAUUAAUAUAUAGUAACUCGGCAAAUUUGUUCUUCACCUGUUUAACAAAAACAUGUCUUGGUGAUUUAAUUAUACUAAGUCUGGCCUGCUCAAUGAUUUUUUUAAAUAGCCGCAGUAUAUUGACUGUGCAAAGGUAGCAUAAUCAUUUGUCUUUUAAUUGAAGGCUUGUAUGAAUGGUUGGAUGAGGGAACGACUUUCUUUAUAUUAGGAAUUGAAUUUAAUUUUUUAGUUAAAAAGCUUAAAUUUAUAAGUGGGACGAGAAGACCCUAUAGAAUUUUAUUUUAUUGUAAUAAUUACUAUUUUAGGGUUUAAUUAUUAAAUGUUACAAUAAAAUUUUGUUGGGGUGAUGGUGAGAUUUUUAUAACUCUCAUAAUUUAUAUUUUUAUUAAUUAGUAUUUUUAAGAUCCUAUUUUAUGGAUAAUUAGUUUAAAUUACCUUAGGGAUAACAGCGUUAUUUCUUCUGAGAGUUCUUAUCGAUGAAGAAGUUUGCGACCUCGAUGUUGGAUUAAAAUUAGAAUUAGGUGUAGCAGCUUAAUUUCUAGGUCUGUUCGACCUUUAAAUUUUUACAUGAUCUGAGUUCAGACCGGCGUGAGCCAGGUCGGUUUCUAUCUUCUUAUGGUUAUUGUAGAUUAGUACGAAAGGACCAUUUACAUCAAAUAUUUUGUUUAUGUUAUUGAAUAAUUUUA
RNAcentral lists this ribosomal RNA (1273 nucleotides) under Dolycoris baccarum (sloe bug). RNAcentral's name for it is "16S ribosomal RNA". The stretch from base 1029 to 1187 matches the Rfam family "Archaeal large subunit ribosomal RNA", at positions 2542 to 2701 of the family's 2987-position model. Lineage: Eukaryota; Metazoa; Arthropoda; Insecta; Hemiptera; Pentatomidae. The record is from RNAcentral.